Molecule: small RNA, 545 nt
Filed under: Pongo abelii (Sumatran orangutan)
Lineage: Eukaryota; Metazoa; Chordata; Mammalia; Primates; Hominidae
Description: retained intron
Source: RNAcentral
UGUUAAAUCAUUGAAUUAGAAAGCUUUGUCUCAAGUUUAAUAAUUUGCCUGAGGUCACACAGCUGGUUAAUGGUUAACAUACUUCUCUGAUAAAGGUCACUAGAGGUUCUUAUGAAGAUACUUUUAGGUGGCAUAACAAAUGUGUUUAUGCAUAUUCAAGACACUCUUGUAUCCACAGGUUGCACUGCUGUGAUCCGUCAUCAUCUCCUAAAGAUGCAUCCUGACUUAUCUCCACACUUGCACACUGAAGAAUGCAACGUCUUGAUUAACUUGCUUAAGGAAUGUCACAAAAAUCACAACAUUCUGAAAUUUUUUGGUUAUUGUAAUGAUUUCGAUCGGGAGUUGAGAAAAUGCCUGAAGAAUGAGGGUCUCGCUCUGUCACCUAAGCUGGAGUGCAGUAGGGUGAUCGUAACUCACGGAAGCCUCAAACUCAAGUGAUCCUCCCACCUCAGCCUCCUGAGUAGCUAGGACUACAGUACGUAGAAAACAGGACCAAGAGCAGGGAGCAUGGCAUUGCAAUGCGAAAGAAACUUUUUAAUCCUCCA